RNAcentral lists this long non-coding RNA (199 nucleotides) under Panax ginseng (ginseng). RNAcentral's name for it is "long non-coding RNA (PGIN_LNC002805)". Lineage: Eukaryota; Viridiplantae; Streptophyta; Magnoliopsida; Apiales; Araliaceae. The record is from RNAcentral.
CGCAAAUAUAGUAAUAGUUGUAUAGUGAUAGAAUGAUCGAACCGGAUCCGCAAUGAUUCGGGACCCAGAUUCGUGGACCUCAUAGUUGGUAUCAAAGUUGUAGGUUAUGAACCUUAGGUAGGAAUACCUGAGACUAAUAACCGCAGUGAUUAGGAUAAGAUCUAACUUAUAUAGAGUUAGUCAGUCGGUAAGAUUCAAA